ACCAACUUGCUAUGACAUUUACAGUGUAUUAUCCUCUUGGGUGAUGACAGAUAACGCCCACCUUGAACAAAUAUCUUAGUGCAUCUGCUGGGCAAGCUGUUGAUGGCACAUCAUGAAUGCAUCUCAUCCUAACUGCAUAGUCAGAAGACAAAUAGUUGAAGUCCCAUCCAGGACAAUAGCCACUACCUUCUUGAUGUUAACCUUGUUCUGCCACCACCUACCUCAGAGUGGCUGGCAGAGAUUAUAAACUUCUCCUGAUGCAAUCAGGCAGAUUAAAGGUCACAGGGACCACAACAGAAAUGUUUCAACAGCAGACUUAAAAGCUACUAAUUGAAUCCCAGCUUCUAAGCCAUUGCCCACUAACCUCUCUUGAGACUCAAGAGACCUCACCAGCUGGCUGAGCCUGGAGACCUUGAAAUCCAGAGGUGGCUACUGCAGGCUCUUCCCGGGUCGUGCCUGCCAUCUUGUGGAUAUAAAUGGUAACUACACCGAGGCUGGGCUCAAAACCCCCUUAAGGAUCAAAGGACUUUGUUCCCUUAGUUGUCAAAAGGAAUUGAUCUUGCUUCUGCAGUCCUGAGGGUCUGCUCCAUACUGAUCCUGACGAAGGCAUUAGGGUACCAGUCUCACAUCUUCUAUAAACCCCUCUAUCCUUCAGAGCUCUUAGCUUUUUCACAAGCGCUUACUAAAUGUUCUGGAAAGUUGAGAAUCUAAGCUAUUCAAACCAUGGACCUAUGAUUAACUUGGAGGUGACACCUUAAUUG
RNAcentral lists this long non-coding RNA (761 nucleotides) under Homo sapiens (human). Its description in RNAcentral is "HSALNT0247300". Lineage: Eukaryota; Metazoa; Chordata; Mammalia; Primates; Hominidae. The record is from RNAcentral.